RNAcentral lists this ribosomal RNA (771 nucleotides) under Pectobacterium carotovorum. RNAcentral describes it as "partial 23S ribosomal RNA". It matches the Rfam family "Bacterial large subunit ribosomal RNA", at positions 418 to 1191 of the family's 2925-position model. The record is from RNAcentral. Lineage: Bacteria; Pseudomonadati; Pseudomonadota; Gammaproteobacteria; Enterobacterales; Pectobacteriaceae.
CGGGACACGUGACAUCCUGUCUGAAUAUGGGGGGACCAUCCUCCAAGGCUAAAUACUCCUGACUGACCGAUAGUGAACCAGUACCGUGAGGGAAAGGCGAAAAGAACCCCGGCGAGGGGAGUGAAAUAGAACCUGAAACCGUGUACGUACAAGCAGUGGGAGCCUACUUGUUAGGUGACUGCGUACCUUUUGUAUAAUGGGUCAGCGACUUAUAUUCUGUAGCAAGGUUAACCGUAUAGGGGAGCCGCAGGGAAACCGAGUCUUAACUGGGCGUUAAGUUGCAGGGUAUAGACCCGAAACCCGGUGAUCUAGCCAUGGGCAGGUUGAAGGUUGGGUAACACUAACUGGAGGACCGAACCGACUAAUGUUGAAAAAUUAGCGGAUGACUUGUGGCUGGGGGUGAAAGGCCAAUCAAACCGGGAGAUAGCUGGUUCUCCCCGAAAGCUAUUUAGGUAGCGCCUCGUGAAUUCAUCUUCGGGGGUAGAGCACUGUUUCGGCUAGGGGGUCAUCCCGACUUACCAACCCGAUGCAAACUACGAAUACCGAAGAAUGUUAUCACGGGAGACACACGGCGGGUGCUAACGUUCGUCGUGAAGAGGGAAACAACCCAGACCGCCAGCUAAGGUCCCAAAGUCAUGGUUAAGUGGGAAACGAUGUGGGAAGGCACAGACAGCCAGGAUGUUGGCUUAGAAGCAGCCAUCAUUUAAAGAAAGCGUAAUAGCUCACUGGUCGAGUCGGCCUGCGCGGAAGAUGUAACGGGGCUAAACCAUG